Molecule: long non-coding RNA, 504 nt
Filed under: Fukomys damarensis (Damara mole-rat)
Lineage: Eukaryota; Metazoa; Chordata; Mammalia; Rodentia; Bathyergidae
Description: lncRNA (ENSFDAG00000024593.1)
Source: RNAcentral
CGGGACUGGACAGGAAGAAAGGUCUCCCGCUCCUGUAGUGCGCUGUCCUUGCACCACGGGCAGGUGAUUGCUAGACUGCCUCAAAUCCCCCAGGUUUCAUCAGCCUCUCCACAUUCACCCACCGACAGACACAGGGCAGACUGACUGCUUUUGCUGAAACUCGCACACAUUCUGCCUGUGGCCUUCCUCCAUCACUGAACCCUGCGGCGCUGACAUAAACAGGCAGCCGGUUAGGUCUGAUGGAUGGGUGGCCAACACGGGAAGACUGAGCACCUCGUUUUUCUCCCUGAUAAAGCGGUGACACAGCUGCUGCGCAGGCCAUCCGAGUCAAGGCUACCUGGCCCCAAAGGCAUCUGACGAGGUGAAGAGCGUCCUCUAUGAAAAUGAAAUCCAUAGAUAAUAUUACUGCCUACCUGCAUCAUUUAAAAAAAAAGGCCUCAUGAUUUUGCCGUGACUAAUAUAAAGGAUAAAUAAAAGAAAUUAAUUCACCUCCCACACCCGGCU